GAAUAGGUGGCUCAGUGGUUAGAGCGCGAAUUUACUAACCGGAAGGUUCGUGGUUCGACCCGACCUAUGCA
Molecule: transfer RNA, 71 nt
Filed under: Opisthorchis viverrini
Lineage: Eukaryota; Metazoa; Platyhelminthes; Trematoda; Opisthorchiida; Opisthorchiidae
Rfam family: tRNA
About the family: Transfer RNA (tRNA) molecules are approximately 80 nucleotides in length. Their secondary structure includes four short double-helical elements and three loops (D, anti-codon, and T loops).
Source: Rfam by way of RNAcentral